This 301-nucleotide ribosomal RNA is filed under the name Lacunicambarus aff. diogenes 'nebrascensis'. RNAcentral's name for it is "partial small subunit ribosomal RNA". The record is from RNAcentral. Lineage: Eukaryota; Metazoa; Arthropoda; Malacostraca; Decapoda; Cambaridae.
AAAGUUAUGUUCUUUAAAUUUAAAAAAUUUGGCGGUGUUUUAGUCUAGUUAGAGGAACCUGUGUUAUAAACGAUAUAACACGCAUUAUUUUACUUAUUUUAGUAGAUCAGCUUGUAUACCGUCAUUAUAAGAUAAUUUAGGAGAGAAUAUUAUUGAGAUCAUAUUAUUGAGUAUAUUAGAUCAAGGUGCAGCUUAUGGGUAAGUAAACAUGGGUUACAAUAAAAUUUAUUUAAUAUGAAUUAAGUGUUUAAACAUAUUUAUGAAGGAGGAUUUAAUUGUAAGGGGGGAGUAGAGAGCUUUU